Molecule: ribosomal RNA, 440 nt
Filed under: uncultured bacterium
Lineage: Bacteria
Description: bacterial SSU rRNA
Rfam family: Bacterial small subunit ribosomal RNA
Source: RNAcentral
CCUACGGGAGGCAGCAGUCGAGAAUCUUGGGCAAUGCACGAAAGUGUGACCCAGCGACGCCGCGUGAAGGAUGAAGGCGCUCAGCGUUGUAAACUUCUUUUCGGGGAGAAGAAUAAUGACGGUAUCCCCGGAAUAAGCCACGGCUAACUACGUGCCAGCAGCCGCGGUAAUACGUAGGUGGCAAGCGUUGUCCGGAUUUACUGGGCGUAAAGGGCGGGCAGGCGGAUUGUUAAGUAGGAAGUGAAAGGUUGGAGCUCAACUCUAACACUGCUCCCUAUACUGGCAGUCUUGAGUCCCGGAGAGGAAAGCGGAACGACACGUGUAGCGGUGAAAUGCGUUGAUAUGUGUCGGAACACCAAUUGCGAAGGCAGCUUUCUGGACGGGAACUGACGCUCAUCCGCGAAAGCCAAGGUAGCGAACAGGAUUAGAUACCCCUGUAG